AGGGGUAACCUGAGUAAUAGCAAUAUUACUUAGGCUAGACCGGCGCACGGGUGCGUAACACGUAUGCAAUCUACCUUACACUGGAGGAUAACCCCGAGAAAUCGGGGCUAAUAUUCCAUAACACAAUGAAGUGGCAUCACUUUAUUGUUAAAGCUCCGGCGGUGUAAGAUGAGCAUGCGUCCAAUUAGCUAGUUGGUGAGGUAACGGCUCACCAAGGCUACGAUUGGUAGGGGUUCUGAGAGGAUGAUCCCCCACACUGGUACUGAGACACGGACCANACUCAUACGGGAGGCAGCAGUGAGGAAUAUUGCGCAAUGGACGAAAGUCUGACGCAGCCAUGCCGCGUGCAGGAUUGAAGGCCCUAUGGGUUGUAAACUGCUUUUGUACGGGAAUAAACCUUUCCUCGUGAGGGAAGCUGAAGGUACCGUAAGAAUAAGCACCGGCUAACUCCGUGCCAGCAGCCGCGGUAAUACGGAGGGUGCAAGCGUUAUCCGGAUUUAUUGGGUUUAAAGGGUCCGUAGGCGGAUCGUUAAGUCAGUGGUGAAAGCCCAUAGCUCAACUAUGGAACUGCCAUUGAUACUGGCGAUCUUGAGUAUAAUUGAAGUGGGCGGAAUGUGUGGUGUAGCGGUGAAAUGCUUAGAUAUCACACAGAACACCGAUUGCGAAGGCAGCUCACUAAUUUGUAACUGACGCUGAGGGACGAAAGUGUGGGGAUCAAACAGGAUUAGAUACCCUGGUAGUCCACACCGUAAACGAUGAUUCUAGAUUUGGCCUU
This 775-nucleotide ribosomal RNA is filed under the name uncultured Bacteroidota bacterium. RNAcentral describes it as "bacterial SSU rRNA". It matches the Rfam family "Bacterial small subunit ribosomal RNA", at positions 64 to 829 of the family's 1533-position model. Lineage: Bacteria; Pseudomonadati; Bacteroidota. The record is from RNAcentral.